Molecule: ribosomal RNA, 335 nt
Filed under: Klebsiella pneumoniae
Lineage: Bacteria; Pseudomonadati; Pseudomonadota; Gammaproteobacteria; Enterobacterales; Enterobacteriaceae
Description: bacterial LSU rRNA
Rfam family: Bacterial large subunit ribosomal RNA
Source: RNAcentral
AAGGUUAGCUAAUCCUGGUCGGACAUCAGGUGGUUAGUGCAAUGGCAUAAGCUAGCUUGCCUGCGAGCGUGACGGCGCGAGCAGGUGCGAUAGCUGGUCAUUGUGAUCCGGUGGUUCUGAAUGGUAGGGCCAUCGCUCAACGGAUUAUAGGUACUCCGGGGAUAACAGGCUGAUACCGCCCAAGAGUUCAUAUCGACGGCGGUGUUUGGCACCUCGAUGGCGGCUCAUCACAUCCUGGGGCUGAAGUAGGUCCCAAGGGUAUGGCUGUUCGCCAUUUAAAGUGGUACGCGAGCUGGGUUUAGAACGUCGUGAGACAGUUCGGUCCCUAUCUGCCG